GCCUACAGCCUUGCUGGUCUGAAUGCACCAGAUCUCAUUUGAACUUGGAAGCCCUAGACCUAGCUAGUACCUGAAGACC
Molecule: ribosomal RNA, 79 nt
Organism: Apteryx haastii (Great spotted kiwi)
Lineage: Eukaryota; Metazoa; Chordata; Aves; Apterygiformes; Apterygidae
Source: Ensembl